CAGCCCGUCCCAAUGCAACCAUUUUUGUGCACCGCUCUUUCCCACGGAGGCUGCUCUUCUGUCUGCCCUGCCUUGGCUCAGCCUCCAACAAAGCUUCCAGGAAGAGAGACAGAGAAGAUGGGCCUCAAGCAGGAAAUGUGCGCGGUCUUUAGAGGAGACGGAGAAAAGGGAGGUUUUUGUUCAAUCGUGUACGUUACUCUCUUAUUCCCCACCAUUUCCUGAAAACAAGGCUUGGGGGAAGAAAAAUCGCAGAGCUACAUCGCAUUUUUCCAUUAGCAGAGCAAGCAGGGAGAAGUAAUGGGCUUGCGGGGGGUGGAGGGGGGCGGGUGGCAUAAUCAGAGAUCUGCUUCGUCUUCAGAGAAAGAAAAACGCCCGGGCGCCUGCUCGGCCAUAAAUUGCAUCUGCUGGUUGGAGCUACGGCAAGUUAUUAAAGUGACUGCAUUAAAGUCAUAAUUCAGCAGGUCAGCAGUGAGCAUACUCCGCAAUCUCUCCUCCAUCAUCCCUCCCGAACACAUUUUCUGAAAGGACUAAACCCCAGUGGCCUGAAUCAGCUCUUACUGCGGCGCUUAAUGACUUUUCCUCCCGCUUCAAGGAGCUGGGGAGGGCGCGGAACAAGCCAGUCUCUCGAUGACAUCACCGGCGCUCACAAAAGGAUGGCGCUGCCCGUCCAGGCCCAGCCCGGAGGAGGAAUCCCCCUUCCAUUUUCACUUUCCCUUGCAAGGCAAGAAGAAACGCGGCUCGGUGCAAGGCCUUCGCUUCGUAAGAUGCUUCCUAUUUGAAGAGAAGGGAGGGGGGACGUGGUCCGACUCUUGUGGAGCGGCUGAUCACGUGAGGAUGUCCUCCCUUCCCAUAUCCAGCUGUUUCAUUUAUGUAUUCAAAGGAAGACAGCAGCGAGUUAGUGCAGAUUUCAAGCACGUUAAAAAAAAAAAAAGCAUCAGAGACCAAUAUGUGAGCCAUGCAGGGGGAGAGUAACCGGCCCUAUCCACCUCCAGCACAGUACCUCCAGUGAUUGUUGCUGGUGUUUAUCUUAUGCAUCUUUUUAGAUUGUGAGCCCUUUGGGGACAGGAAGAGCCAUCUUAUUUACACUUUGGAAUGUUUUGUUGAAAUGCGGUAUAUAAAUAUUUGUUGUAGUAGUUGUAAAUAUUUUAAGACAUGAUAUUUCAAUAACAUGCACUUGUCCUACAUUGUUUAAAUUUUACAAAAAUAAAAAGAAGGCACUGAAAA
Hemicordylus capensis (graceful crag lizard) is the source of this 1224-nucleotide long non-coding RNA. RefSeq lists it as uncharacterized. The transcript is spliced from 3 exons. The record is from RefSeq and is a predicted model, not a curated record. NCBI's taxonomy places the organism in Eukaryota, Metazoa, Chordata, Lepidosauria, Squamata, Cordylidae.